Long non-coding RNA from Triticum aestivum (bread wheat), 2517 nucleotides. RefSeq lists it as uncharacterized. The transcript has 2 exons. The record is from RefSeq and is a predicted model, not a curated record. Lineage: Eukaryota; Viridiplantae; Streptophyta; Magnoliopsida; Poales; Poaceae.
ACUCCCUUCCCCAAUCUCUUUCUCCUCCCCGCCGCCGCCCCCUCAUCUUAUCCCUCAUCCUCGAUCCCCUCCACUAUCCCUCCUCCGCACCCUCACCAUCCCGGCGAUGCCUGCUUCCUCCACCUCCCCACCUGCGACUUCUCUCUUACCGGGAAUCUCCUAAGCUUCCUCCACUCCCAAUGGCACACAUCCCCCACCCCUCUUACUAGGUGCAGUGGCAACGACAUCCUGGGCGCGUGCAGAUCUGGCAUGGAACAGAACCCCGACGUCGGCCUAGUCGAACCGGGACGGCCGUGCAGUGGUCGAUGAUCUACUGCGACGGCUGGAAGCAGCAGCAAACCCUAGUCGCCACUAGUUACCAGUGCGGCUCCCAACUGUCCUACUGGCGUCCUCGAUGUCGUGGCCUCGUACUCCUCUGCGACCCCCGUCCAGGUUCUUUUGCCGCCUCUGAUUAAUGUUGUGGUCGUGGAUCCCUAUAGAGGAAAGGUUUCUCGCGUUCCUCUCUCUGAUGUACAGACGCGCGCGUCCCUUUGGCUAUCGGUGGCAAGCAGCCAACAUAGAGCAGCACAGCAGGAACGGCGGCCGUGCAUCUACCUCGAACUCCACCAAACACCAGCCACCAUCGGUAACCAGCUCUGCUCCUGCUCUUCUUUUUUGGAUGGUUGUUCUAGUUGGCAAUGUAUGUCUGCUCUGACGUAUGUGAUUUCAGUGGCGGUGGCAGGAUCUGAACAUUGCUUUCUCAAGUUUUUUAAAUGAAAAAAUUAUAGAAAAAACAAACAGGAACAGAAAAGACCACACAUAUUUUUGGUUGCAGCUUUUUGCCAAAUUUAUCCAUUUAUCAUUGGUGUGAUUACCAAAUACAAGACCUAACAAGUGAAAAACAAGCAUUUUACUAUGAAGAACAAGAUCUUAAUUUCUUAAUAAGAGAAAAAAUUGGAAGAGGAAGAAGAUGUAGUGUACAAAUAGAAGAAAAGGGACCUUGUGCUAGACUCCUUGUGCACUCGCCGAUCACCAGAGGUACAGUACUUUAGAGAGUCGGAGACUGGCUGAGGACGUGGCCAUGCUCACGGAGGUGUUUCCGGACGGCGGGCGGUUGGCGACCGGCAGCAUCAACGCUUGGUGUGCAACAUGCGCAUCCAUGGGAUAUUCUCCAACCUGCCGGUGUUGUGCCCCCGUUGGCCUUUAGGGAUUACAUGGGAAGGUGAAAAAGAGAGAAGUAGUAGUAGUAAGAGUAAUCACAGGAUUUGAGGAUUGGCUAAUUAGGGAAGCUAUGUAACUAGGAAGAACAAGAUCUUAAUUUCUUAAUAAGAGAAAAAAUUGGAAGAGGAAGAAGAUGUAGUGUACAAAUAGAAGAAAAGGGACCUUGUGCUAGACUCCUUGUGCACUCGCCGAUCACCAGAGGUACAGUACUUUAGAGAGUCGGAGACUGGCUGAGGACGUGGCCAUGCUCACGGAGGUGUUUCCGGACGGCGGGCGGUUGGCGACCGGCAGCAUCAACGCUUGGUGUGCAACAUGCGCAUCCAUGGGAUAUUCUCCAACCUGCCGGUGUUGUGCCCCCGUUGGCCUUUAGGGAUUACAUGGGAAGGUGAAAAAGAGAGAAGUAGUAGUAGUAAGAGUAAUCACAGGAUUUGAGGAUUGGCUAAUUAGGGAAGCUAUGUAACUAGGACGGCUGUGUAAUUUCCUUUGCUAUAUUAGGCUAGCCUAAUCAUAGGCAAAGCAGAUAACAAAUGGGUCUGUCAUACUCAGUUUAUAGAACUUGUUUUUUACCGGUGGGGGAGGUAGACGUGGUAGUCUUUGGCAUGUCAAAUUGCUGUGUAGUCGCUUGACUACCCAGCUAUAGCGUGGCUUCGCCACUGUGUGAUUUCCUGCCUAAAUUAAAGUACACAUAUGGUUGUGAGACUUGAUCAUGUUGUCACCACUGGGUAAUGUGAAUUGAAUGGAUAAAUGCUAUACUGGACCUGAUGGUUUGAGCACUACAACAAAUCUGAAUGUUUUCACAUGUCUCUUUCACAAGUAUGCACAUCAACUGUUUAAUUACUAUAAUAUAUUGCAACGAAUAAUAUCUGUUACAUAUUUAAUGCCAACUGUCUACUUAUGUAACUGAUAAUUGGUUAUAGCAGUGUAUGUUUAUUUAGUUUAAUAUGAGUGUACUUAAUUAAGUCUCAAUUUUAUUUCCUUUUCUUGCCUUAUUUUCGUAGAGGUUUGUUCUGUGUAACUUGAUCUCAGCUUUCAAAUCAGUAUUGAGAAGGUGAAACUCCUACAAUCAUGCAUCCACUACAAUUGUGGGUUGAGGUAAUUGAGAUGGAACAGAAGACAAUUGGGUUUGGUUUAGAUGGGUUACUCCACUUGGAUAGGAACAAUGAUACUACUGCGAACACGAUUACAUAUUAUGUGUAUCUAAAUGUCCAGUGUGACCGAUUUGUAAUUUUAAUGUUAUUGUGGUCAUUAUUUUGUAGUUGUGAAUUUGUAAUUGUGCACUAUAGUAUUGUUUCUGGCUAAAUAGAGAUUCUUUACUUA